Immersiella caudata is the source of this 117-nucleotide non-coding RNA. Lineage: Eukaryota; Fungi; Ascomycota; Sordariomycetes; Sordariales; Lasiosphaeriaceae. The record is from the annotation of a GenBank genome assembly.
GGUCCGUUGGCGCAGGGGUCAGCGCGCUCGUUCUGCGUCAUCCUUUGUGAAUAAUCCAGGCUUAUUCACAAGGGUUGUUUUAGCGAGAGGUCGUGGGUUCGAAUCCCACAUGGGCUA